CCCAGGUUUGGAUUGUCUAGAAAGGGACAGAUCUCUCUGGGAACACCUUUCCCUCCCUGCACUGAAGACAGUGGGUCCAAGGUGUGCAGCUGCCUUCUGUAGGUGAAUCUUCUUCUCAAAGCUUAGAUCAGCCCCAGACUCUGUGUGACUGGAGCAACAGAGUUACAGGAAGAAGAAUGACAGGGGAGCUCUCUGAAGGAAUAUUACUGCAGGCUACCUACAGAGCUCAGAAGUAAUGCUCUUUACAGGCAAAUCACUGGGAAACAUCAUCGAAACUCAUCAUCAGACUUUGGCAGCUGUGUUGUGAGAGCCAAGACAAGACUGGAAGUGGAGAUCAUACAUCCUACGGAGCUAGUGCCAGUAUGCUGAAAUAUCAUAAAUGCUCAUACUUCAACAUGCCAGACUUGCAUAUGGACAUGCUUGCUGCACGAGGGAGCACACAUAUGCUCUUGCACACACACACAGCAUUAACUAGGCUCAAAUAUGUGGUGGCUGCUGAUAUUCAGUAGUAACUGAGCGGAGAUGGUUCUUCCACUUCACAGAGCAUUUUGAGAUCUCAGUUUCUGGCUUCAUUCUGAUUGUGGGUGGAGGGGAAGGCCGAAACUUUACUAUGCAAAAGCAUCCCAAGAUAUCAUUGUCCACACUUUUUCCCAGUUCUGAGGUGAUCUAACUGGUGGGUUGCUGGGAAAAUAGGAUCCUUGAAGGAUGGGGCUGAACUGUGGCUGGUCUGCUGGGCUCUGAGCAUCCCCCACCCCAGCAACUCGCCUAGCAAGAAAACUGAUAAAGAAGGAAGUGAUGUGGCCCAAAGCUAUGCUGUUUGUGCAUAGAUGUUUGCCUUGAUUCCAUUGGAAUAUAGUCCCAAGUUGACAGUCCUGGAGAAUAUUUCAGUUUCAUAAAAGCAUGUUGAAAAGCAUGUUUUCCUGAAAUCAUUUCAACUAGCUCAACUUGCAAGUUUUCAGAGGAAGCAGAUAAGAAAGCAGCUUACUGGAAAAUUGAAGUUGUCUCCUUGGUGGCAGAAUCAUACACGGUGUGAGGAGUGCCAUACUGAGCAGUAGGCUUCUGCAGAUAGAUAACACUAAUUGGAAAUUUUACCUCCCAGGCUUCCCACAAGCACCUGCAAAGACAUCCCUAGUUUGCCUUUAGCUCCUGCCAUGGUUUCUGUUUAAUGCUGAAGUUUGUCAGCAAAUGAUUCCCUUGCAUUUCCCCUGUGUAAUUCUUCCAUGUAUCUGAUGUCUCUCAUCCCACACUUAACACCAGAAGUUGCAUAGGACUGGAACGGUCUCUUUGCUAUCCAUGUGAGCAAUGCCAGUCACAGGGCAGCUUUGGUCCCCGGUUGGAGUUCUGCAGUUCACAGACAGUAGAUGAUAACAACACCAAAGGUAAACAACGUAGUAAAUCAUCAAAAGACAUAGCUGAGUGCAUAAUGUAGUGGACAAUCCAAAAUGUCCCAUAAGUGCAGUGUAAGGGUAAAAAGUAUAUAACAGAAAAGUAUGCUUUUUGAUCUCCCAGUUAAUAGCUAGGUCGCGUUAAGACAGCCGCGCGCAGAGGAUGAAAUGUAUGUACAAUAGCAGUAACCAGGAUGUGAAAAACAAAGCCAAAUGAUUUAUGAGUCUGAUUCCCAAGUGAUAAGAAUGAACAUAACAAAAAUAGAAUAGUAAAUUAGUUAGACAGGAAA
Long non-coding RNA from Struthio camelus australis, 1675 nucleotides. RefSeq lists it as uncharacterized. NCBI's taxonomy places the organism in Eukaryota, Metazoa, Chordata, Aves, Struthioniformes, Struthionidae. The record is from RefSeq and is a predicted model, not a curated record.